Molecule: ribosomal RNA, 190 nt
Filed under: uncultured Saccharomycopsis
Lineage: Eukaryota; Fungi; Ascomycota; Saccharomycetes; Ascoideales; Saccharomycopsidaceae
Description: partial 26S ribosomal RNA
Rfam family: Eukaryotic large subunit ribosomal RNA
Source: RNAcentral
AGUGAGCGGCAAAGCUCAAAUUUGAAAGCUAGCACCUUCGGUGUUCGCGUUGUAAUUUGAAGAUAGUUUCCUUGAGUAGUCCUUUAUCUAUGUUCCUUGGAACAGGACGUCAUAGAGGGUGAGAACCCCGUAUGAUUUUGGAUACUACUCUUUGUGGGAUUCUAUCGAAGAGUCGAGUUGUUUGGGAAUA